GCAGGAUUGGCCUAGUGGUAAGGCGUCGCACUCGUAGCUGCUCCGAUAUGCGAAGAUCUCCAGUUCGAUCCUGGAAUUCUGCA
This 83-nucleotide transfer RNA is filed under the name Pyrenophora teres f. teres. Its description in RNAcentral is "tRNA-Thr". It matches the Rfam family "tRNA". Rfam says of the family: Transfer RNA (tRNA) molecules are approximately 80 nucleotides in length. Their secondary structure includes four short double-helical elements and three loops (D, anti-codon, and T loops). The record is from RNAcentral. RNAcentral also lists the same sequence under 2 other names. Lineage: Eukaryota; Fungi; Ascomycota; Dothideomycetes; Pleosporales; Pleosporaceae.